Dermacentor silvarum is the source of this 2917-nucleotide long non-coding RNA. RefSeq lists it as uncharacterized. The record is from RefSeq and is a predicted model, not a curated record. Lineage: Eukaryota; Metazoa; Arthropoda; Arachnida; Ixodida; Ixodidae. The transcript is spliced from 4 exons.
AAUAGGAGAAAGGUAUCUUUGCAUACCGAAUUUGAUACGAAUGAGGCUGUGCUUUCUUUGUUCUUGCUUCAUGUAUAGGGAAAGAAUGCAGGUCACUGUGCUAGCAGGACAGCUGCCUGCAGGUAUAGUUCUAUGCUGUGCUUGCCGGCUGCAUUGAUUAUCUAAGGGCUGUUGUGGCCAGCUUAAGCAGCACAAUGAGCUGAGCUUUGGUAAAUGUUUCAUGCUCUGCAGGAUUCCUGGCGAGAGGCCCUUAGGUUUAGGGCAAAGUAUGAACGCAGAAAGAUGAGGCAAGAAGCUGGAGAAGCAACUCCUGUGGCAGCCAAGAGGCCAUGCAAGCCUACCAUUUCUGAGGAUGUUCAGAAAAUAGUUACAAGGCCUUACGUGGCUACUGAUCUCUGUGAUGCAGAGGACCCAGAAAGUAUUGCGGCACAUAUAUCUGGCAUGCAGAAGGAGAUGAGGAAGGCGAGGCCAGACAAAGCAUAUAUAAGUGACAGCAUGUCUAGGACGUUUGCAGCACGACGUGCAUGGAUUUCGAAAGAAAUACCUUCUGUGGAGCAGGUCACAGAGAAGUACCCAGCAUUGAUGCUGGCCACUAUGGUAAAUUUUACUCUUAAGGGGAGAUGCGGCUGGAAAAUUAUUUAUUUUUUACCUAGGACUUUGCAAGUUUGCUUCUUUGUAGAGAUUGUGAUGCUGAUUUCAAAACUAAAUAAAUUUAAUGUUUCUCUUAUAGUUGCCGAGUUCUAGGAGAUCUACGAAGAACAAAAUACAGUGAAACCUCAGUAAUAUGUAACUGGUAGUGGUGGCAACACGGCAUUACAUGCUGAACGGUACUAUGCCAAGUACCAAUUAGCCUCUUGUGAAGUGCAUCACCACUACCAACAACUAGAUAAAUGCAAUGCCACAGCACAGAUUGCCUAGAAUAUGCAAUGUCUUUUUCCAAAGCACGGAAAGAAAUUCUCUUUUGCAUGAUUGUUCACUAGCACGCAAAGGCGAUGAACCACGAUGUUGAUACCAAGGAGCAUUUCGUAACUUUGACAGAGAAAGCAGCUGCAGGCAUGGUCGGCAGAGCAGAUGACUCGUCCUGCUUUUUCCGAUGCAUGCGCACGUGUCUGUACAAGGAUAGGGUACUCAGCUAAAACUGGCGCCAUUUUACAGACAUGUGAUACGAUGUGGUGCCACAUAUCGGGAGCAAUUUGUGUGCAGCGUGUCGCCUACUAGCUCAUGCCAUCACAUGCCAGCAGACCUGCACCAGCGUUUUCUGAGAGUAUCCAUUUAUCGUAGAAAACUGUGGGAGCAGCUAUGCAGGGAGGUUUUUCCAUGCCAGCGUCACUCCUAGCUGACCUUGCACGAACACUGUAUGUAUCUUGUCGAGCCAACGUGGCGAUGGUGAGCUGCUUUCGUUUCUGCAAGUGGCAUGCACUUGAAGCGGUCUCGCACAAAGAGGUGACGGAGAAGAGCGGCGAGUUUAGGUUGUCACUUUAAAAAGCAUGCAGUAUGCUUAGAGCGAUGCUAUAGUAUACACUCUAUGCCACACACAGACUUUCUGUUAUCAACACUCAAAUCCACUUUGGGAGGGUGCUGUUUCCAAUCCACUGAUGCCAUCGGGAAGUAUUCGCUGGCUGAGCUGUACAGCAAUCCAAAAUAUUUAUUUCAUCGACUCAGAAUGGGACUACUAUGAAUGCAACAAAGCCAACUGGUUUGUUGGGAAGUACAAGCAACGUAUAUGUACAAAAUUCACGUCUUCCGGAUAGACCUUGUACAUCGAAAAAUUAAAACUAUUAAGUAGUGUAGUGCAUGAAUAUUUGCUUCCUAAUUUCCUUGGGGCAAUUUUUUCCCUGUUCUGAAUAUAGAUUUAUGAAUGAUUUUGCUGUAAUGCAAGGCUGGCUUCCUAAUGUCCCGGAGUGUCUUUCUCUGCUUUAACCACCAUUGUUCACCCUGGUAUUAUGCGAUUGGAAAAAUGAAAUCGUUUCAUGCACAUGUAUAUGUUACUGUUGGAAAAUGAAAAUUGGAUUGAAAAACCGAGAAAUUUGGAAAACCAUAAAUUACUUGCUUUUGGUGUUUACUGCAGCAGUACUGGUUAGUAUAUUUGUAGGAAGCUAAUGUUGAUGUCUCUUUUUUGCACUCCAAACUAUCCAAAGGUUCAAAGUGAGUUUCACUCACAAACAGGAAUUGCUUGUUGGGAACACUGCAAGAUGUGCUCUCAAUGGCUUCCACCAAAAUUAUUGAGGUGGCCAAGAAGAAGCGCCACCUGGAGCAUUUCUUUGCCUCCCUUGAUGAGGCAAUGAGUGCCGCACAGCCUCUCCACAAAGACCUGAAGCCUACAGCUUCAGUUUGUGUCCUUUCAAGCCUCGUCAAGGAGAGGAUGGAGGCUUUUAUUUCCCCCUACCACCCGGAUGCGUUGCAUCAUGUCCCGACCAUUACGUAUGAGGGCACUAGCCUCCUGGAAGCAAGAGCCCUCUAUGUGGAGCUGGAAUCGAUAAAGAUUGAUGAAGAUGGCCUUGUCCCUGCCCUGGCAACGCAAAUUGCCCUGUACUGGGCAUUUGACAUUGUUUUUUCACCAAAAGCGCAAAAAACAUUCGACCUAAUAUGCCGCAUGGUCGGCAUUAAUAGCGGUGUGCGGCCAACUCCGCUUGUGCGUGUGGCACACACGUUGCUGCAGUAAAAGAAAAUAAAGUGUUCUGUUGUUUCAAUUGUCCAUACUUUGUGUUACAAGCACCCAAGCAGCGCUUGACCAAGCAGCUCUUGUUCUGUUUCUUAAAAGCAUGUUUGAGAUAAAAAAAAUUAAUCCCAACCCAAGCAGCUUUGCUCAUGUCUUGGGCCUCUGAAAAGCAUGUUCGAGGCAAAAAAUUAACCCCAUAAGGAGUAACUACAGAAAUGGAGGACUAAACUGUUGAUCCCCUGGGGAGUAACUGCAAGG